This 286-nucleotide long non-coding RNA is filed under the name Actinidia chinensis (golden kiwifruit). RNAcentral's name for it is "long non-coding RNA (ACHI_LNC003674)". The record is from RNAcentral. Lineage: Eukaryota; Viridiplantae; Streptophyta; Magnoliopsida; Ericales; Actinidiaceae.
UAAAUGGUAACAACGGCUAAAACAUAGACCUAAUCCGCUAAUAAAGCAAAUCUGGUAAAUGGUAAUCAACGGUGACAAUUUUUCAUGGUGCGACCUAUUGGUAGCCAAAAAAGAUUAUCAACAACUGUAAAAUCUGCUACAACUGAAAGAAGUAAAAAAUUCUAUAUUACAACCAUCUGGUAUAAUAUCAGGAUAUAAACUGCAUACCAUAGAUAAGACACCACUACAGAAAUGAACAAGAUAACGAAGUACUCUUGACAUUUUCUUACAAUAAACGCUUUUAAUU